CCAGACUCCUAGGAGGCAGCAGUGGGGAAUAUUGGGCAAUGGGCGCAAGCCUGACCCAGCAACGCCGCGUGAAGGAAGAAGGCUUUCGGGUUGUAAACUUCUUUUAAGAGGGAAGAGAAGAAGACGGUACCUCUUGAAUAAGCCACGGCUAACUACGUGCCAGCAGCCGCGGUAAUACGUAGGUGGCAAGCGUUGUCCGGAUUUACUGGGUGUAAAGGGCGUGCAGCCGGGCUGACAAGUCAGAUGUGAAAUCUGGAGGCUCAACCUCCAAAUUGCAUUUGAAACUGUUUUUCUUGAGUGCUGGAGAGGCAGACGGAAUUCCUUGUGUAGCGGUGAAAUGCGUAGAUAUAAGGAGGAACACCAGUGGCGAAGGCGGUCUGCUGGACAGCAACUGACGGUGAGGCGCGAAAGCGUGGGGAGCAAACAGGAUUAGAUACCCGAGUAA
Molecule: ribosomal RNA, 445 nt
Filed under: uncultured bacterium
Lineage: Bacteria
Description: bacterial SSU rRNA
Rfam family: Bacterial small subunit ribosomal RNA
Source: RNAcentral